This 464-nucleotide ribosomal RNA is filed under the name Vreelandella stevensii. RNAcentral's name for it is "partial 16S ribosomal RNA". It matches the Rfam family "Bacterial small subunit ribosomal RNA", at positions 338 to 795 of the family's 1533-position model. Lineage: Bacteria; Pseudomonadati; Pseudomonadota; Gammaproteobacteria; Oceanospirillales; Halomonadaceae. The record is from RNAcentral.
CCUACGGGGGCAGCAGUGGGGAAUAUUGGACAAUGGGCGAAAGCCUGAUCCAGCCAUGCCGCGUGUGUGAAGAAGGCCUUCGGGUUGUAAAGCACUUUCAGUGGGGAAGAAAGCCUUGGGGCUAAUACCCUCGAGGAAGGACAUCACCCACAGAAGAAGCACCGGCUAACUCUGUGCCAGCAGCCGCGGUAAUACGGAGGGUGCGAGCGUUAAUCGGAAUUACUGGGCGUAAAGCGCGCGUAGGCGGUCUGAUAAGCCGGUUGUGAAAGCCCCGGGCUCAACCUGGGAACGGCAUCCGGAACUGUCAGGCUAGAGUGCAGGAGAGGAAGGUAGAAUUCCCGGUGUAGCGGUGAAAUGCGUAGAGAUCGGGAGGAAUACCAGUGGCGAAGGCGGCCUUCUGGACUGACACUGACGCUGAGGUGCGAAAGCGUGGGUAGCAAACAGGAUUAGAUACCCUAGUAGUC